GGUUAUGAAGUUGAAUAAGUUUGGAGUAUCCUUAACCAUACUUUUUCUUGAUAUUUCCCAAAACAUGUUCUCCAAGCUGUUAAUAUUCUAUGUAAAUGAAAGAAAAAGGAAGAAAGAAAAAGAAAGGAAGAAAAGAAGGAGGAAGAAAAAGAAGGGAGGGAGAAAAAAGGAAAGAAAAAGAAAAGACAAACUCGUGAGUUUGGAAAGCACUUUCAUUACAGAAAGAU
Molecule: long non-coding RNA, 227 nt
Filed under: Homo sapiens (human)
Lineage: Eukaryota; Metazoa; Chordata; Mammalia; Primates; Hominidae
Description: HSALNT0312324
Source: RNAcentral